AGCGCUUUGGUGUAAGGUUGCACGACAGGCUCAUGUUCUGUUAGACCAGUGUUCAAUUCCUGGAUGCGCUC
This 71-nucleotide transfer RNA is filed under the name Meira sp. (in: smut fungi & allies). RNAcentral's name for it is "Meira sp. tRNA-Met". It matches the Rfam family "tRNA". From Rfam's summary of the family: Transfer RNA (tRNA) molecules are approximately 80 nucleotides in length. Their secondary structure includes four short double-helical elements and three loops (D, anti-codon, and T loops). The record is from RNAcentral. Lineage: Eukaryota; Fungi; Basidiomycota; Exobasidiomycetes; Exobasidiales; Brachybasidiaceae.